CAACCCUCGAGCCCCUAAGGGGGGUCGGCGUUGGGGAUCGGCUGAGCCCUCGACGGCUCUGCCGGCCCCGAAAUGCAGUGGCGGUCUCGCCGCAGCCUCUCCUGCGCAGUAGUUUGCACACUCGCAACGGGAGCGCGGCGCGACCACGGCCGUAAAACAACCCAAACUUCUGAAA
This 175-nucleotide unclassified non-coding RNA is filed under the name uncultured Trichoderma. RNAcentral describes it as "sequence contains ITS2". Lineage: Eukaryota; Fungi; Ascomycota; Sordariomycetes; Hypocreales; Hypocreaceae. The record is from RNAcentral.